RNAcentral lists this transfer RNA (85 nucleotides) under Micavibrio sp. RNAcentral's name for it is "tRNA-Leu". It matches the Rfam family "tRNA". Rfam says of the family: Transfer RNA (tRNA) molecules are approximately 80 nucleotides in length. Their secondary structure includes four short double-helical elements and three loops (D, anti-codon, and T loops). The record is from RNAcentral. Lineage: Bacteria; Pseudomonadati; Bdellovibrionota; Bdellovibrionia; Bdellovibrionales; Pseudobdellovibrionaceae.
GCGGGUGUGGCGGAAUCGGUAGACGCGCCGGAUUCAAAAUCCGGUGUCGCAAGACGUGUCGGUUCGAGUCCGACCAUCCGUACCA